RNAcentral lists this long non-coding RNA (2725 nucleotides) under Bemisia tabaci. RNAcentral's name for it is "lncRNA ENSSSA3NGG004820". The record is from RNAcentral. Lineage: Eukaryota; Metazoa; Arthropoda; Insecta; Hemiptera; Aleyrodidae.
AUGGUAUUAGACGUUAACUUGUCUUCGUUGAUGUUAUUUUUCAGACAGAUGCCUUGUAAGUUUGUACCUAGUACGUACUUACCUAUGCAACCUGUGAUGGAGAGUGCCAUCUCCGCGGAGCUCCAACGUCUAUACUCAUUGUUGAUCCUAACGAGAGAGCGUGUGCAGAGGGACAAACGGGAUGAUGUUAUAACUAAGGGCACGAUUUUAGAACUGGUUGUGAAGAACUCUGAAUCGAACCACUUUGCCAGGAAAUUAUUAGAAAUAGCAAUGAUGAAUGAUGGGUCCCGAUCGUUUGACCUUGGCGCUCUCAAUGCCUUGAAAGCUUCGUUUGAUGAUUUUGAAGCGGAGUGUUACUCAGUGGCCGCUCAGGACGUAUGCAGUGAGCCCGAGUUCUUCGGGUUCACGCAGGAGGUCGUGAGACAAACCAUGGAGACUCCGAUCAUCAAAGAAUCCGAAUACAAGGCUAAGAGAAUGACGGGGAUAAUGUGCAGUAAUGACCUAGCUAUUAACUCGCGUGACAUACUCAAAAUGUCCUUCAACGAGAUGUCUCUACAUUUAAGCGGACGUCGACUAAUGGCCCGAAUGUAUGAGCGUCCCGGGCGGUUGACUCUACCUAUAUGGUAUGAGUAUAAAGAAAGAUUAGUUACGCAAUGGCCUCCUGAAGCCGACACCUUCCAACUAGAGUUGCCUGAAGAUAGGGCUACUGUCUUCUCGGAGAGAAUACAUUUCAGAAGCUUCGAUCAUGUAUUUCUGACUCCUGAUGGAUGGAAGGCCUUUUCCGAAGAUGCAUAUCUGCUUGGGGUAACCUCAAGGCGGUUCUGGUAUGUAGGGAGAAAUUGCUAUACUGAAUCAUAUAGUAAGAGCAAAUUAUUGAGUAAAGCUAAUAGGAAGGUACAGAAUUGGCGAAGGUAUGUGAAGUUCCAUGGAGUAAUUGACGUGAUAUCGCAAUCUAUGUCUGAGUGAUGACAUUAGCUCGCACGAUGUCCUUUUUGUCGGCCUCCUGUGGUGUAGUGGUUGUAGCGCUGGCCCUAUGACCAAGAGGUCCCGGGUUCGAUUCCCGGCCAGGUGAUCUGAGUUUGGGGGGAGUUGGGGGUUUGGGUUUGGGGGGCAAUGGUCACCUGGGCUUGGGUAAUAAGCGUGGGAUUAGCCAUAGGCUAUUUGAAAUUGGUAAAAAAAAAAAAAAAAAAAAAAAAAAUUAGACCUCAUACUGUUUUUUCUGAGUCAAAGACAAGGACCUAUAUGCCCACAUUCUCAAUCGAAGGCUCCAUAGGUUCAGGUAAGACAUAUUUGUUAAACUUAUUGAACGAGCAUCAAAUUUAGAACUAUCCAGAACCUGUAGAAGUGUGGAGGAUUAUCACAAUAUUAAUGUUUUGCAAAAUUAUUAUAAUAACCCAAAAGAAUUCACUUUUCCCUUUCAAAUUCUGGUACAACUAUCCAUGAUAAAAACGUUCUGUAACGUGAGGAAACUAGACAAAACCAAAAACUACAUAAUUGAAAGAUCUUUACAAUCAGCAGUUCACGUUUUUAAUGAAUUAAGAGUAGGUAGCAAAUAUAUGUUUUAGCACACCUGCAUCUUGCACUUUGUGCUUAUCAUGAGCACACCUGCAUCUUGCACUGUGUGCUUAUCUCGAGCACAAACUGCAUCCUGCACUGUGUGCUCAUCAUGAGCACAAACUGCAUCAGUAGGUGUAAAAUGCGGAUACCCGGACAGAAUACAUUUUAUGCCGGUUUUACUACGCCGCCUGAAGCAAGUGAAUUACCGCCUCCGCCAGCAGUUUGGAUUUUUAUUAAUUUUAUUUUAUCGAAAAAUUUAGCCUCAAAUGAAACUGAUAAGAGAGGUGUUAGUGACUCCUGUGCGAAGGUGUAGUAUGGUGGUGUGAGAGAGAGUGUUUCUUCCUGCGCGUAAAGGUCAAUAGGGUCGCGUUGCGCUUUUACUUUCGUUUGCUUUAAAUAUGCAGCCUUUGCAUCUGGAAUUCUAGUAGUGUAUUCUUCGUUGGUUAUGGAGCAUUUGACUGACGCAGCUGAUUUUCUUGCUCGUCUUCGCGAAAUUGUCAGUACUUGUUCUCGGUGUAGUAGGUGUGGUGGACCAGGACGUGUGCCGUUUCGCCUUUGCGAACUUGGUUGUAGGACGCCUUGUCCUGAGUGUUUACCUGCCGAAGUUACUCUAUUUUUUGCGAAGGGUGUGGCCGAAGGUCGCGUGUUGUCAACUGUGCGCUCCAUAACUACGUGUUCAGGUUAUUGGAGAGUUUUUCCUUCAUCAAUUGAUUUGUAAGUUCUAUACACUUAUUAUGCUUAUUUUUUAAAAUGUUUAUGUAAUGUAUGGUUAGGUUAGGUUAGGUUAGGUUGUAAUCUGGAAUUCUAGUAGUGUUUCCUUCGUUGGUUAUGGAGCAUUUGACUGACGCAGCUGAUUUUCUUGCUCGUCUUCGCGAAAUUGUCAGUACUUGUUCUCGGUGUAGUAGGUGUGGUGGACCAGGACGUGUCCCGUUUCGCCUUUGCGAACUUGGGUGUAGGACGCCUUGUCCUGAGUGUUUACCUGCCGAAGUUACUCUAUUUUUUUGCGUAGGGUGUGGCCGAAGGUCGCGUGUUGUCAACUGUGCGCUCCAUAACUACGUGUUCAGGUUAUUGGAGAGUUUUUCCUUCAUCAAUUGAUUUGUAAGUUCUAUACACUUUAUUAUGCUCAUUUUUUAAAAUGUUUAUGUAAUGUAUGGUUAGGUUAGGUUAG